This 465-nucleotide ribosomal RNA is filed under the name uncultured bacterium. RNAcentral's name for it is "bacterial SSU rRNA". It matches the Rfam family "Bacterial small subunit ribosomal RNA", at positions 338 to 795 of the family's 1533-position model. The record is from RNAcentral.
CCUACGGGGGGCAGCAGUGGGGAAUUUUGGACAAUGGGGGCAACCCUGAUCCAGCCAUGCCGCGUGAGUGAAGAAGGCCUUCGGGUUGUAAAGCUCUUUCGGCCGGGAAGAAAUCGUGCAGGCUAAUACCCUGCAUGGAUGACGGUACCGGAAUAAGAAGCACCGGCUAACUACGUGCCAGCAGCCGCGGUAAUACGUAGGGUGCGAGCGUUAAUCGGAAUUACUGGGCGUAAAGCGUGCGCAGGCGGUUUUGUAAGACAGGCGUGAAAUCCCCGGGCUCAACCUGGGAACUGCGCUUGUGACUGCAAGACUAGAGUACGGCAGAGGGGGGUGGAAUUCCACGUGUAGCAGUGAAAUGCGUAGAGAUGUGGAGGAACACCAAUGGCGAAGGCAGCCCCCUGGGUCGAUACUGACGCUCAUGCACGAAAGCGUGGGGAGCAAACAGGAUUAGAUACCCUGGUAGUC